AACGAACGCUGGCGGCAGGCCUAAUACAUGCAAGUCGAACGCACCGCAAGGUGAGUGGCAGACGGGUGAGUAACGCGUGGGAAUUUUCCUUGCAGUACGGAAUAACUCCGGGAAACCGGUGCUAAUACCGUAUACGCCCUUCGGGGGAAAGAUUUAUCGCUGCAAGAUAAGCCCGCGUCGGAUUAGCUAGUUGGUGGGGUAAAGGCCUACCAAGGCUACGAUCCGUAGCUGGUCUGAGAGGAUGAUCAGCCACACUGGGACUGAGACACGGCCCAGACUCCUACGGGAGGCAGCAGUAGGGAAUAUUGGACAAUGGGCGCAAGCCUGAUCCAGCCGUGCCGCGUGUGUGAUGAAGGCCUUAGGGUUGUAAAGCACUUUCAACGGUGAAGAUAAUGACGGUAACCGUAGAAGAAGCCCCGGCUAACUUCGUGCCAGCCGCCGCAGUAAAAC
Molecule: ribosomal RNA, 450 nt
Filed under: uncultured bacterium
Lineage: Bacteria
Description: bacterial SSU rRNA
Rfam family: Bacterial small subunit ribosomal RNA
Source: RNAcentral